AGCGGCGAACGGGUGAGUAACACGUGGGCAACCUGCCCUUCAGUUAGGAAUAACCCCGCGAAAGCGGGGCUAAUACCAAAUGAAGUUCCGGCAUCCAAAGGGGCGCUGAAGGAUGGGCCUGCGGCUGAUUAGCUAGUUGGUGGGGUAACGGCCUACCAAGGCAACGAUCAGUAGCCGACCUGAGAGGGUGACCGGCCACACUGGGACUGAGACACGGCCCAGACUCCUACGGGAGGCAGCAGUGGGGAAUAUUGCGCAAUGGGCGAAAGCCUGACGCAGCGACGCCGCGUGGGUGAUGAAGGCCUUCGGGUCGUAAAACCCUGUCGGGUGGAACGAAUGACGGUACCACCGAAGGAAGCCCCGGCUAACUACGUGCCAGCAGCCGCGGUAAUAC
This 394-nucleotide ribosomal RNA is filed under the name uncultured soil bacterium. RNAcentral's name for it is "bacterial SSU rRNA". It matches the Rfam family "Bacterial small subunit ribosomal RNA", at positions 94 to 526 of the family's 1533-position model. The record is from RNAcentral.